RNAcentral lists this ribosomal RNA (501 nucleotides) under uncultured Desulfobulbus sp. Its description in RNAcentral is "bacterial SSU rRNA". It matches the Rfam family "Bacterial small subunit ribosomal RNA", at positions 887 to 1382 of the family's 1533-position model. Lineage: Bacteria; Pseudomonadati; Thermodesulfobacteriota; Desulfobulbia; Desulfobulbales; Desulfobulbaceae. The record is from RNAcentral.
GCCCGCUCAGAAACUCAAAGGAAGUUGACGGGGCCCGCACAAGCGGUGGAGUAUGUGGUUUAAUUCGAUGCAACGCGAAGAACCUUACCUGGUCUUGACAUCCCGGAGACCCUUAGGAAACUAGGGGGUGCUUCCAUCUGGAAGAAUCUGGAGACAGGUGCUGCAUGGCUGUCGUCAGCUCGUGUCGUGAGAUGUUGGGUUAAGUCCCGCAACGAGCGCAACCCUUGCCUUUAGUUGCCAGCAGUUCGGCUGGGCACUCUAAAGGGACUGCCGGUGUUAAACCGGAGGAAGGUGGAGAUGACGUCAAGUCCUCAUGGCCUUUAUGACCAGGGCUACACACGUACUACAAUGGCCGAUACAAAGGGCAGCGACACUGCGAGGUGAAGCCAAUCCCGUAAAAUCGGUCUCAGUCCGGAUUGGAGUCUGCAACUCGACUCCAUGAAGUUGGAAUCGCUAGUAAUCGUGGAUCAGCAUGCCACGGUGAAUACGUUCCCGGGCCUU